RNAcentral lists this long non-coding RNA (1286 nucleotides) under Zea mays. RNAcentral describes it as "long non-coding RNA (ZMAY_LNC002485)". The record is from RNAcentral. Lineage: Eukaryota; Viridiplantae; Streptophyta; Magnoliopsida; Poales; Poaceae.
UAACAAACACUAACCUAGUGUUUCUUCCAGGCAAGCCCCGGUGCAUUUGCCCCUUCCUUGUGUUUUAAAUGCUUUUUCACCUUAUCUGAUGCAUUAGGUGAUAGGAGUUGUGUGAUAAACAAUUGAUGCAUUACCAUUCCUUGGAAACUCCUUAAUCCCAGUUUUAUAAAAAGAACUGAUAAUGCUUAGCCCUGCUUAGAAACUGAAAAAUCAUUUGUUUUCAAAAAGAAUGAUUGUGGAACAUUGGUUAUGGGCCUUUCGUUUCAAACAUCAAAGCAAACUUAUGGUGAUGAUUCCACUUCGGCCGGAGUGGGUUCAUCAUUCGGAAAAGAGUACCCCUGUCGGGUACCAAAAAUGGGGAAAAUGUUUGAAUACAUCUAGACCAGACGCUGAGCGGACGUGGUCGCCCGUCUGUGUCGAUUAAGGACCGUUCGAUGUAGGCCUGUUGUGGUGGAGACCUUGCAACUAGCCACAUGCUCCGGUAAGCCUGAACCCGGCUAUUCCAUACGUGAAAAGACAACCGCGCACUGGGCGUGGGAGAUGGUGGGAGUAGCGUGUACCCUCCUGGCUAGAGGCUGGAUGGAGGAGUAAUGUGCUCCCGGGUAGCGCGGACCGGUUCACGUUGUGGAGGAUCUGUGGAAACGGUUAACAUAUGCAAGGAUUAAGUGCUACAUAUGUCGUGUGGUUAGGGAUCCCCAGCUGGGUAUAAUCGGUUCGAAUCGUCGUUCCUCCUCGGUCAUGGAGACUCUACCCUCCGACCACUCAUCGUAGUUGACAAGUGAAAUAUGAAUUGGCUAAAAGAAAGCUAGACCAGGACAAGUGGAUGCUCUAGAUUAGGCAUAUCUAGAUUCAGGAAAAAUACUAAACUUGUGAAGUAAAAUUUUGGCAUAAGGAUUUACUACUAGUAAGCUCUUCUGCAAAACAGAGUCUUUGAUUCUUGAUAAGCCACACUUUGAAUCCCUCUAGCCAGCAUACCCUUGAGAGUCUUUUCUUUAGUCGGGUAAGUCUUGCUGAGUAAUUCCAUACUCAGGGUUUUAUUCCCUGUUGUUUUUCAGGUUAUAGUUUUGUGCUGCUGUUGAUGGUGUUAAGUGCCGGUGGGCUCGGCCUUCUUAUAAGUCUAAGUAAUUCUUCUAUACUUCUUAUUGAGGAUGGUCACAUGAGCUAGCAUAUAUUUCAAACUUACAAAUAAUUUAUAACAUCUCAAAGUUAUUCCUUUGAACCACUUUUGUAAUCACUCCGAUAAAUACAAUGUAAACUUGUUGUAACUUGUAAAAUUUGGUAAUAAG